UACGUAGGGUGCAAGCGUUGUCCGGAAUUAUUGGGCGUAAAGAGCUCGUAGGCGGUUUGUCGCGUCGGCUGUGAAAACCUGGGGCUCAACCCCGGGCCUGCAGCCGAUACGGGCAAACUAGAAUUCGGUAGGGGAGACUGGAAUUCCUGGUGUAGCGGUGAAAUGCGCAGAUAACAGGAGGAACACCGGUGGCGAAGGCGGGUCUCUGGGCCAUAACUGACGCUGAGGAGCGAAAGCGUGGGGAGCGAACAGG
Molecule: ribosomal RNA, 253 nt
Filed under: uncultured bacterium
Lineage: Bacteria
Description: partial 16S ribosomal RNA
Rfam family: Bacterial small subunit ribosomal RNA
Source: RNAcentral